RNAcentral lists this ribosomal RNA (560 nucleotides) under uncultured bacterium. RNAcentral describes it as "bacterial SSU rRNA". It matches the Rfam family "Bacterial small subunit ribosomal RNA", at positions 338 to 916 of the family's 1533-position model. The record is from RNAcentral.
CCUACGGGAGGCAGCAGUGGGGAAUAUUGGACAAUGGGCGAAAGCCUGAUCCAGCAAUGCCGCGUGAGUGAUGAAGGCCUUCGGGUCGUAAAGCUCUUUUACCAGGGAUGAUAAUGACAGUACCUGGAGAAUAAGCUCCGGCUAACUCCGUGCCAGCAGCCGCGGUAAUACGGAGGGAGCUAGCGUUGUUCGGAAUUACUGGGCGUAAAGAGUACGUAGGCGGUUAUUCAAGUCAGAGGUGAAAGCCCGGGGCUCAACCCCGGAACUGCCUUUGAAACUAGAUAACUAGAGUCUUGGAGAGGUUAGUGGAAUUCCGAGUGUAGAGGUGAAAUUCGUAGAUAUUCGGAAGAACACCAGUGGCGAAGGCGACUAACUGGACAAGUACUGACGCUGAGGUACGAAAGCGUGGGGAGCAAACAGGAUUAGAUACCCUGGUAGUCCACGCCGUAAACGAUGAUAACUAGUUGUUCGGUCACUUGGUGACUGAGUGACGCAGCUAACGCAUUAAGUUAUCCGCCUGGGAGUACGGUCGCAAGNUUAAAACUCAAAUGAAUUGACGG